UCAGGAGUAAUGAGGUUGUAUUUACAGCCUGCACCAGUACUAAUGGACUAGGUGUGGUCAGAGACCAAUUAUUAUAUAUGACAUAGACCCUUUGCUUUCUCUGUGCUGACAGCACACCAGUACAGAACAGUCCAACCAUUGGUAUUGCCAUAAAUCCUAGGGAGAUUUUUGAUGUGAACAAUAUAUUGCAUACUUUAAAAUGCAUGAAACUCCCCACCUCCCAGUUGUCAUUUAACACUGUGUUUUCGUAAAUAUCCUUAUUUUUUCUGCAUCAGAUCUUAAGCUCAUCUCCUUCUUCUUAUUUCACCAGUCAGUUUCCUAUGUUUUUGGAUACUUUAUUGUGCAUAUUCUGCUUUUUGUAUAAUUUUCUGCUCUUAGCCUUGUUCUCACAGACAGGCCAUUAAAAAGGAGGAGGAUGAUACUGGAGUGGAACUGAGGAAUCUCUUAAGAUCAACAGGACGUGACUGGAUGGAUGCCUGUAGAUCUAGUUAGGCCCGGUUAUCAAAAAUGAUGGAUGAAGGUGCUAAGUAUUGAUUCCAAUACUUGGGAAAUCAGCCCACUAUUCUGUAAUAAGAUAUAAGGCCUCAGUUUGACAGAUGCUUUAUUACUGGAGAGCUCACGCAUACCUGAGGGCCAGUAAAGAAGAGAGAGACAACGACAUUAUUUUUAUUAUUGAGUCUGUAGAAAGGGUCAAUAAAUUACAAGGAGUUGGACAUGUGUAUGUGCCUAUUUAUGAAAAGUUUGUCAGUGCGGCCAUCAGCAAGAGUUUUAGGCCUCACUUUGAGGCUACCAAAAAAAAUGUCUUGCGAGACCUCCCCCCCAGUGCAUCACAAGGGCUCUAAAGGAGCAUUAGUUUGUCAGCUUCUCCUUGUUAAGCAAUCAUUGCUGUUUAAGAGGUAACAAAUGAAGAUGUAUAUAACUGGGGUAGGCAAACUUUUUGGCCCAAGGCCUGCUUGGGGAAAUUGCAUGGAGGGCCAUGAAUGUAGGGCUGGGGCAGGGACUUGGGGGGCAGGGUCUGGCCCGGCACUGCUGCUAAGGCAGGCUGCCUGCCCUGGCCCCAUGCUGCACGGCUCCCACUACAUCCCUGGGGGAGGGGUUCCUGGCCACUGGGAGCUUUGGGUGUGGAACCCACAGGUUAGGGCAGUGUGUGGAGCCCUCUGCCCCCCCCCCCGGGGGAGCGGCAAUCCCAUGGGCUGCAUCCAAAGCCCUGAGGAUCCAGCCCAUGGGGCUGUAGUUUGCCCACCCCUGCUAUUAAUUCGUUAAGCAGAUAUUUGUCUAUCGAGUACAGACUCAUAUACAACUUUUGUGUAGCUUUUUCUCCUUUAUUGCUCACAUGGGAUGGUGGUUUCCAGCAGCCCCUUUGUCAUCAGUAACUGAGGAUUUACAUAUUUAUUGCAGCUUAUGUGCUCUGAAGCAGCCACGCACA
Long non-coding RNA from Caretta caretta (loggerhead turtle), 1426 nucleotides. RefSeq lists it as uncharacterized. The record is from RefSeq and is a predicted model, not a curated record. Lineage: Eukaryota; Metazoa; Chordata; Testudines; Cheloniidae.